This is an RNA transcript of Pistacia vera, 1730 nucleotides long. It is a transcript of the gene named amino acid transporter AVT6A-like, with no coding region annotated. The transcript has 6 exons. NCBI's taxonomy places the organism in Eukaryota, Viridiplantae, Streptophyta, Magnoliopsida, Sapindales, Anacardiaceae. The record is from RefSeq and is a predicted model, not a curated record.
GAAAGCUUCUUAGCAAAACCCACAAAAUGGCUAUUCAGUCCUCGGUCGACCGGCCCGAACGUAAGUACCGGAAGAGUCCUAAAGUCCCCCUGCUCCCGCAAAAGCAUGAAGACUUCGAGUCUCACGAGGCGGGCAUAGAGGGUGCGUCGUUUUGGGGCGCUGUGUUUAAUUUAUCCACCACGGCUGUGGGAGCCGGAAUCAUGGCUUUACCUGCAACUGUUAACCAAUUGGGUUUAAUUCCGGGUCUAAUUAUGAUCCUAUUCGUUGCUUGGCUAACGGAAUCGUCGAUAGACAUGAUCCUAAGAUUCACCCGAGCUUGCAAGUCGGCCACGUAUUCGGGUCUCGUGGCGGACGCUUUCGGUGGGGCCGGUCGGACGUUAUUGCAGGUCUGCAUUGUUGUGAACAAUUUGGGAAUGCUCGUUGUUUACAUGAUUAUUAUAGGUGAUGUGUUAUCGGGUACUUGGUUGAACGGCAUACAUCAUUCGGGUCUGACUGAAGAAUGGUUCGGUCAACAUUGGUGGACCACACGCGUUACAUUGCUUCUCAUCACCACCCUCUUUGUCUUUGCUCCUCUUAUUUCAUUCAAGCGCGUGGAUUCAUUGAGAUACACUUCAGCAUUAUCGGUGGGUUUGGCCGUUGUAUUUGUGGCAAUAACAGCGGGAGUGGUGAUUGUUAAAUUAAUAUAUGGAGGCAUUGGAGUACCGCGGUUGUUGCCUGAAAUUAACGACCAGGCUUCAUUUUGGAAGCUUUUCACCACUUUCCCAGUUUUAGUAACUGCCUUUAUCUGUCACCAUAAUAUUCAUCCAAUAGAGAAUGAACUGAAGGACACGACUCAGAUGAAGUCCAUUGUUCGGACAUCGCUCUCAUUAUGCUCAAUUGUCUAUGUUGCAACCAGUGUCUUUGGACUUCUCCUCUUCGGGGAUCAUAUUUUGGAUGAUGUGCUUGCUAAUUUUGAUGGUGACCUUGGAAUUCCCUAUAGUUCAUUGCUUGAUGAUGUGGUUAGGGUGAGCUAUGGAAUCCACUUGAUGCUUGUUUUCCCCAUUGUGUUUUUCUCCCUCCGCCUGAAUUUGGAUGGACUUCUUUUUCCCUAUGCCAUUCCUAUUGCGUUUGACAACCGUAGAUUCUUCUUAGUAACUGCAGCUCUGAUGGGAUUUAUCUUUGUGGGAGCCAAUUCUGUACCUAGUAUCUGGGAUGCCUUCCAGUUCACUGGUGCCACAGCUGCUGUCUCUGUUGGUUUUAUCUUUCCAGCUGCCGUUGCCCUUAGAGAUACUCAUGGAAUUGCAACAAAGAAUGACAGAGUGGCAUCAUGGCUGAUGAUCUUUUUGGCAGUCUCAUCAAGCACCGUGGCAGUCUCCAGUGACAUCUACAGUAUUUUUAGUGUUGAUAAAGGCAUUGGAGGCUGACCUUAAAAAGGGGCAACUUUCUGGUUGCUCUGAUGCUGUUUUUGGUCGCCCCAUAGAUAAUGUUAACUGGGCCUACUGCGAUGAGGCAGUCGGGGACUACUGGGCUUUGGUCAACAAAGGAGCAUUUCGCUGCAGUAAAAGCAACGCUCCAGUUCCUUAUAUGAUAUUUGGCAGUGUGCGAAUUCGCGAUUUCAUUAGUUUGGAAAGGUUGAUUGUCCUCCUGAGAGCUGGAUUUCACACACUUUAUGACACAUUGUUAAUCAUCUUCUUGAAGCGAGUAUCGCGAUAACUGACAUACACAUACACACCAAUUCAAGAAAAGUGAGA